GGGUUUACCAUGCGCGCAGCUGAUGCAGCCAUGCCGCGUGUGUGAGAGCUUCGGGUUGUAAGCACUUUCGUAGGAGGAGGUGCUGCAUAUACGUAGGGAUUGACGUUACCUAGCAAAAGCACGGCUUAUCCGUGGCAGCAGGCGCGGUAUA
Molecule: ribosomal RNA, 151 nt
Filed under: uncultured bacterium
Lineage: Bacteria
Description: partial 16S ribosomal RNA
Source: RNAcentral